GAUCUUUGAUCUUAGUGGCGGACGGGUGAGUAACACGUGAGAAUCUGCCCUUAGGAAGAGGAUAACAGCUGGAAACGGUUGCUAAUACUCUAUACGCCGAGAGGUAAAAGGAUUUAUCCACCUUAGGAAGAGCUCGCGUCUGAUUAGCUUGUUGGUAAGGUAAUGGCUUACCAAGGCGACGAUCAGUAGCUGGUUUGAGAGGACGACCAGCCACACUGGGACUGAGACACGGCCCAGACUCCUACGGGAGGCAGCAGUGGGGAAUUUUCCGCAAUGGGCGAAAGCCUGACGGAGCAAUACCGCGUGAGGGAUGAAAGCCUGUGGGUUGUAAACCUCUUUUCUCAAGGGAAGAAGUUCUGACGGUACUUGAGGAAUAAGCAUCGGCUAACUCUGUGCCAGCAGCCGCGGUAAUACAGAGGAUGCAAGCGUUAUCCGGAAUCACUGGGCAUAAAGCGUCUGUAGGUUGCCUACCAAGUCUGCUGUUAAAGAUCAGGGCCUAACCCUGGGAAAGCAGUGGAAACUAGUAGGCUUGAGUGUGGUAGAAGUAGAGGGAAUUCCUGGGGUAGCGGUGAAAUGCGUAGAUAUUAGGAAGAACACC
This 598-nucleotide ribosomal RNA is filed under the name uncultured cyanobacterium. RNAcentral describes it as "bacterial SSU rRNA". It matches the Rfam family "Bacterial small subunit ribosomal RNA", at positions 81 to 710 of the family's 1533-position model. The record is from RNAcentral. Lineage: Bacteria; Bacillati; Cyanobacteriota.